Molecule: long non-coding RNA, 2022 nt
Filed under: Ananas comosus (pineapple)
Lineage: Eukaryota; Viridiplantae; Streptophyta; Magnoliopsida; Poales; Bromeliaceae
Description: long non-coding RNA (ACOM_LNC015092)
Source: RNAcentral
AACCGGUUCCAGAACACAGAAAAGUUCAGUAAAAUAGUUUUAAAGCAAUCUAAGCCUUCUGAACUUAUUCUAAUUAAGUAUCUUUACCACAAAUGAUCUUUUCUUCAUACCUUAGGUGCCGAACUUUACGAAUGAAUCUUUGUUCUUCAAUUUGAAUCUUUUCUUCAAAAACUUCCGCGAUCAACUCUUCAAGACUCCAAUCAACUUUACGAAAUUCGCCAACCUAUAAAAUCCUUAACAAUCUCCCCCUUUGGCGAUUUCGUGACAAAAUAUACUACAAUGCUUGUACACAACUCAGAAAAAAAUAAAAAGAAGAUCAUCGCAAUCAUCAAACGAUAAUCUCCUGCAUGAUCGAUCCAAUAAACGAAAAUUACAAUUUUCAUAAUCUUAAUACAGACUCUAUGGCUUAGACGACAUGGAGUCUUGAAGUCUUGAAUUAUACCUGCAAAAACAUUCUCAAAACAUAAUCAAGAUUCAAGUAUACUUAUCAAGAUCAAACAUAAAUGCUAAACCAAACAAAGUUAAACGCUAAACUAAACAAAGUUUCAAGUCAUAGUUCAUAGUCAAGCACGUAAGCCAACAUCAAAUAUAAAUUUACACAACUAACACAACUAAACAAAGUUCAACUAAACAAAGUGCAUCAUCUAAGCUAAAUGUGUCAUCAUCUAAAUGCGUCAUCAUCAUCAAGAACCAUCAUAUCAACUUAUUGAGUCACACUCAUUACAUGUUGUUUAUAGUAGCUUCCCUAUGGUUGUUCAUGAUAGCUUACUUGUUGUUAUUGUUCAUAGUAGCUUACUACCCAGCUUUAAUUAUCGUUCAUGCAUGCAUGAUAUCAGAUUGAGGCAUAGCUAGAUAUUCAUGAUUCUACCUACUUGCUUACGUUUCCUUACUUGCUCAGUUAUCAUACCUGCUUUUAGUUGGUUUAGCUCUAUAUAUAUAUAUUGCAUAUAUCUCUCUAUGCCUGCUUCGACCUAGUGGGUAGAUCGGUGGAGUCGGCGGCCGAACCCACUGGGAACUGAAAGUUUAAACCCACUGGGAACUGAAAGUUUACAUAUCUGAAAUAAGAUUAAAGAGAAAAAGAAAAGAAUAUAAUAUUUUUUAUGUGGAAGAGUUUGUAUAUUAACUCUCUCUAAACUGGAGUACCUUUUAUAAGAGGCAGUAGGGCCCCUAUUGAAAGCUUACAAAAAGAUAAAAACAAAAUACUUGAAAAUAGCAUACUUGUCCUUAUUUAAAUUGGCUCUAUUCUUAUCUAAUUUGGUUUAAAAAUUUGAUCCUUCUUCUGAUUCAUUGAAACCAUCUCGAUGCUUAUGCUAACCGAAAUAGUUCGUUCAAACCAUCUCAUUCCUUAUCCUAACCGAAGUGGUUGGAACUACCUCCACCUUAUCCACAAAUGGUUGAGAUUAUUCAGAAUUUUGAUCGUCCCAGAUCAUUUGAAUUAAAUCCCACCAAACCAUAGGAAGUUAAUUCAGUUUGGAAAAAAUUCGGUAUGGAUAUAAUACGAAUAAAAUCUGUAUCCCAAUUUUUAAAUUUUGUGAGAAAUACGGGUUAAAAAAUAGAUUUGCCAAUUAUUCGGAUAUGUGAUUUAUAUGAAAACUAUACGUUCACCAAUUAAAAAUUCGGGAUAACAAAAUUAGUUAUUAAAUUAAACUUUUUUCUCUAAAUUUAUACUACUAACAUAAAUAGUUAUAAUUUUUAAGAAUGUAAAAAUAGAGAGCUACAAAACAUAGUUGAUUAAGUAAAAAAGCAAUAGCAAAGUUUAUUGUUGUCUCCAUCUUCAUAUUUUUUAUGACCCACAUAUUCUAAAAAUUCAUGUAGUUUUUUAAUAAUUCACAAAUAAUUCGGUAAUAAUUCGUGAGUUAACUAGCUAUAUUAGAGAAAGGGAUUUUACUAAAAAUUGGUACGAUCUUUCGACAGCAUAGUUUAAUAUACGUAAAUUAUUAGUGAAUAAUAAAUUUAACCUAAAAAUUUAUAUUUUAAAAUUUUUUUUGGAAAGAAAAAAUUACAUAUGAAUUGUUUUAAGUA